Molecule: non-coding RNA, 29 nt
Filed under: Homo sapiens (human)
Lineage: Eukaryota; Metazoa; Chordata; Mammalia; Primates; Hominidae
Source: RNAcentral
UCUCAGGGAGUUUUCCUCUUCUCCUCGGA